RNAcentral lists this transfer RNA (69 nucleotides) under Acerbas sarala chinensis. RNAcentral's name for it is "tRNA-Val". The record is from RNAcentral. Lineage: Eukaryota; Metazoa; Arthropoda; Insecta; Lepidoptera; Hesperiidae.
CAAAUUAGAGCUUGAUAAAUUAAAGUUUUUCAUUUACAUUGGAAAGAAAUUAUAAAUUAAUUAAUUUGA